CCUANGGGUGGCAGCAGUGGGGAAUAUUGCGCAAUGGACGAAAGUCUGACGCAGCGACGCCGCGUGUGGGAUGAAGCCUUUCGGGGUGUAAACCACUGUUGCCCGGGACGAAACUCCUUUUUCGAGAGGAUUGACGGUACCGGGUGAGGAAGCACCGGCUAACUCUGUGCCAGCAGCCGCGGUAAUACAGAGGGUGCGAGCGUUGUCCGGAAUCACUGGGCGUAAAGGGCGCGUAGGUGGCUUGGUAAGCGUGUGGUGAAAGUCCGGGGCUCAACCCCGGAUCUGCCGUGCGAACUGCCGAGCUGGAGCAAUGUAGAGGCAGGUGGAAUUUCGGGUGUAGCGGUGGAAUGCGUAGAUAUCCGAAAGAACACCAGUGGCGAAGGCGGCCUGCUGGGCAUUUGCUGACACUGAGGCGCGACAGCGUGGGGAGCAAACAGGAUUAGAUACCCUANUANUC
Molecule: ribosomal RNA, 457 nt
Filed under: uncultured bacterium
Lineage: Bacteria
Description: bacterial SSU rRNA
Rfam family: Bacterial small subunit ribosomal RNA
Source: RNAcentral